AACGAACGCUGGCGGCAGGCUUAACACAUGCAAGUCGAACGCCCCGCCAGGGGAGUGGCAGACGGGUGGGUAACGCGUGGGAACAUACCCUUUUCUACGGAAUAGCUCUGGGAAACUGGCAUUACUACCGUAUACGCCCUACGGGGGAAAGAUUUAUCGGGGAAGGAUUGGCCCGCGUUGGAUUAGCUAGUUGGUGGGGUAAAGGCCUACCAAAGCGACGAUCCAUAGCUGGUCUGAGAGGAUGAUCAGCCACAUUGGGACUGGGACACGGCCCAAACUCCUACGGGAGGCAGCAAUGGGGAAUAUUGGACAAUGGGCGCAAGCCUGAUCCAGCCAUGCCGCGUGAAUGAUGAAGGCCUUAGGGUUGUAAAGCUCUUUCACCGAUGAAGAUAAUGACGGUAGUCUGAGAAAAAGCCCCGGCUAACUUCGUG
Molecule: ribosomal RNA, 431 nt
Filed under: uncultured bacterium
Lineage: Bacteria
Description: partial 16S ribosomal RNA
Rfam family: Bacterial small subunit ribosomal RNA
Source: RNAcentral